AUUGAACGCUGGCGGCAUGCCUUACACAUGCAAGUCGAACGGCAGCACGGGUGCUUGCACCUGGUGGCGAGUGGCGAACGGGUGAGUAAUACAUCGGAACGUACCUUAUCGUGGGGGAUAACGCAGCGAAAGCUGUGCUAAUACCGCAUACGCCCUGAGGGGGAAAGCGGGGGAUCGAAAGACCUCGCGCGAUUAGAGCGGCCGAUGCCUGAUUAGCUUGUUGGUGGGGUAAAAGCCCACCAAGGGGACGAUCAGUAGCUGGUCUGAGAGGAGGAUCAGCCACACUGGGACUGGGACAGGGCCCAGACUCCUACGGGAGGCAGCAGUGGGGAAUUUUGGACAAGGGGGGCAACCCUGAUCCAGCAAUGCCGCGUGAGUGAAGAAGGCCUUCGGGUUGUAAAGCUCUUUUGUCAGGGAAGAAACACCGGCUCUAACACAGUCCGGGAAUGACGGUACCUGAAGAAUAGGCACCGGCUAACUACGUGCCAGCAGCCGCCGUAA
Molecule: ribosomal RNA, 501 nt
Filed under: uncultured bacterium
Lineage: Bacteria
Description: partial 16S ribosomal RNA
Rfam family: Bacterial small subunit ribosomal RNA
Source: RNAcentral